Long non-coding RNA from Melospiza melodia melodia, 1065 nucleotides. RefSeq lists it as uncharacterized. The transcript has 3 exons. The record is from RefSeq and is a predicted model, not a curated record. NCBI's taxonomy places the organism in Eukaryota, Metazoa, Chordata, Aves, Passeriformes, Passerellidae.
ACCCCGAACAUGGCGGGCAAGGGGAUGGCACAGCCCUGGGUAUCUGCGGCUCAUUCGGCCGCUCUCGGGCUCCCUCAUCGCCCCCCAGUGCGGGGAGCCUCGGGGAGAAGCCACACGCAGGGUUCUCGCUGGAUAUGGUGGUGCCAGGCGGCCGCUUGUGCCACUCAGCGCCCUCAGGAACAGCCCGGCGGUGGUGAGGGGAAUUACUUGGCAAAGCUGAUGGUGCACAGGGGACCAGACUCCAAGAUGAAAAGCAAGCCUUGCUGAAAUGUGAACGCACAGAUUGCACCCUGGAUGAAUGUGGGCAGGAGCUGGAUGAAUAAAGAGGGCUUCACUCACAGAAACAGUUCACCUAAAUCCACUUAAAAUACUUGCUGUAAUAGGAAAAAACCCACCUUUGUUCCUGCAGAGAAAGGCAAGACAUCGAAGAAAAACCAUUUGAAAAACUCCCCACCACAAAACUCACCCUGGUAUUGGACUUCUGAAACAGGUUCCAAAGAGCAACUCCAAGUGUGUAGGAUAAGAUCAGGACAUCAAUACACAAUGCUUGUUCUCCAUCUAAUUUAUCCUGUCAACAGCAGCUAAUUAAUAAUUAAAAAGGGCAUGGUGAUCCUUAUGUGGGAGGUCCUAUAAAAUGAAAAUUGAAGCAAUUUGAGAGGCAGUAGAUUCCUGUUUAUUCAGAAACAUGUUCAGGGAUGUACUCUGUGACUGUUUCAGUUACAGUGUCAGCAGCAAGAUUCUGAUGUGCAUUUAAGCAUUAUGGAAGCUGUGACUGGCCCAUCCCUGGAAGUGUCCAAGGCCAGGCUGGAGCAACCUGGAAUGGUGGAAAGUGUUCCUUCCCAUGGCAGGGGGUGGAAUGAGAUGAUCUUUGUGGUCCCUUCCAAACCAUUCUGUGAUUCCUGUUGGUGAUUUCUGACUCCUCACAUGGGGAGCCUCACUGGGUCCUUCUCACAUUAGUUUUCUUUUUAAUCCAACUGUGCUGUCUUGAACUUCAUCUUUCCAGGGCUAACACAAGGUUUGCCCUAUGACAGAUCACUUUACAAGUCCAAGUGGACAGGCAUUUGG